CUGAUCUGUCCACCUGGAACCAGCUGGGGCUAUAGCCACACCGGGCUGUGCUCCAGCUUCUGAGGCCUCUGCUGGGGAGUCCCCGAGAGCCCUCUGAGCUCUGCCUUUCGCACGGUCUCUCUAGCAGGUGGAGAGGGGAUGCUGGUGGCUGAGAACCACUGCGGGGCGGGGUGGACAGUGUGAGCCUGGGCUCUCAACACCAGCCAUGCAUUUCGGCAUCCCUAAUUCUUUGUUUUGCCUUUAAUCUUUAUUAAAUUACUGUCGAAACUAACUCACUCUUCAUAAUUUUCACAAAGUAGUCUAGGUGAAAUAAAACAGACUUUGGAGCCAGAAGAAUCGAAAUAAAAUUCUCAUUUCCCAAUUACUUGCUGUGCUACCUGGUACAAAUGACUUGGCCUGUCUGAGCCUGUCUGCAUUUUUAAAAGGAAGUAACGACACCUGCCUCAUGAUACAGCUGAAAGGACUAAGUUAGAUGAAAUGUCUCUGGUCCUGAGCAGGGCACCAGUGGUGCCCACGGUGCCGGUUACUGGGGUGAGUGUCACUUGUGUUGAACUGAGCAGGGGGCCAAGCGCCAGUCCUGGGCUGUAUCUGUAUCUCCACGGAAGAUCAAAACGUGGGGGCCGAGGAGUCCUCUAUGGAUUGUUUCUUCUGAACAGAAACAGUGUGUGAAGUCAAGCGGGGGAGCCCUCCCUUUCCAGAAGCGAGUCAUUGAAGAAAUGCCCCUGUGCGGACUCCCCACACGUUAGCACUGGCGGCCAGGCCGGCCUCCCAUGGAGAGCCCCUCUUCAGAGCCACCUUGCCCCCAUUUCCCCCUCAACUGCUCAGCUCACUGGGGAGGAAGGCAGCGAAGUUGUAAAAACUUACUUUUUGGAAAAAUAAGAAUUAUGGGGAAGGACAUUAAUUUAAAAGCUUUUAAGGAGCCAAUUCACCUGUGAAAGUGCUCCCCAGGUGAGGGCCUUCCUGUGUGGAGAACAGCCCGGUCUUUAAAAGCAUUUUAAUUAAUGUUGCUGAGAAACACGCUGAUGGUAUUUAAGUCUGAAGAGCAAAGGUACCAGCCAAGAGUUUUAUGACGUGGUGCUAGUUCUCUUAAAGGCUGUUGAAAUAAUGUUCCCGUGCACUCAGCCUCCCCACUUAGUGCGGGUGGCGGCCAAGAGGAAGUGCUGGAAUCCUCGGUGGCCUAACCCCGGCCCUCAGGACAGAACAGAAGGCAGGCGGCCCCGGCCAGGACAUGCCCAGUGGAAUUUCAGAGGCACUUUCGGGAACACAGCGCCUUCGCACCUUCUGCUCGGUACACACCUCGAGGGGUGGCAGCCAGCUCUUGGCGGCCCACCCAGCACCCUGAAGCCUGAACUGCCUGGACUGUCGCUGAGCAAAUGCCAGGGCCCGAAGAGGACCUGGAAGAGGGCGGGUGAGGGGCUGCAGGCGUGUGGGGCCUGGAUGAUCCCAUCUUGACGACGAGCUGGGAACCGCAGACCGGUGUCAUCCUGGCUGGAGAUGGAGGUCUCUACAUGGCUCCCUGUGUGGCCAGACCACUGUGGCUGGACCAGAGUUUCCCGAUAGCCUCUGGGAAUGGCAGGGACAGUGGGGGAGGAGGUCCCAGGGGAUUUUAUUAACAGAAGGGGGGAGAGAGGGUAGAGAAAGGUAAUGGGAACAAGUAGCUGAAAAUAUGCCCUGGAGAGCAGGGGAGGAGGCUGAGCAGGCAACUUCAAAAGGGAUGGAAGAAAAUGGGGGCUGCGGAGAGUUGAAGAGUGACCCCAAAAGAUAUGUCCAUCCAGAACCUCAGAAUGUGACCUUGUUUGGAAUAAGGGCUUUUGAGGAUAUAAUUCAGCAGCCCGGGGGCACAGGCACGCAGAAGAGACUUUCCCACAGCGGUUCCCAGAGCCCUGGAUGAGGCGUCCUCCAAAGGAUUAUGUCACCAAGUUUCUGCAGUUCUUUGCAGAUUCAGAAUCUAGAUGACUACUAACGAGCGUGAAGCGCCUGGUGGUUUUGGAAGUAAGCCUUCCCAGACUUCAGAACCCACGGUCACCUGGUGCCAUCGCAGGACCUGCUGGUCACAUCAGAGCUUCCUGCUGCAAGUGGGGCCGGGAGCCUGGGCCUCUGAUGCCCACAUGGACCCAUCCAGGACUUGGCCCACCCACUGAGCAAACCCAGGCAUCUCUUCCUGGUUUCAACGAGUCAUGCACCCACCUCGAAGACUCCUCCCUCUUUUGUCCUCUCGCGGAGCCCAGUCACAAGAGAGUUCAAAGAAAUCGGCAGGUCAGUCAGUGGGUGGGCAGGUAGAGACUCUCAAGAUUAAUCAGAGAAAUCGCCCACUGAAUGGGUGCUCUUAGGUCUGUGCCAAGGGCUUCUGUAACAAACUGCCCUGACCUGGGGUCUUAAACAACAGAAAUGCAUUUCCUCACAGUCCUGGAGACCAGCCAGUCCAAAGCCAAGGUGUCCACAGGGCCACGCUCUUCCCACAGCCUCUAGGAGAGAACUGGUUCCUUGCUUCUCAUCCAGUUUCUGGAGAUGCUGCCACCCUUGUGGUCCUAGGCUUGGCGACAUGUCCACCCUCGUGGUCCUAGGCUUGGUGACGUGUCCACCCUCAUGGUCCUAGGCUUAGGUAUGUGUUGCUCCACCCUGCGCCUCUGUCUUCACGUCACCUUCCCUUCUCUGCAUCUGUCUCCUUCUCUUUAUGAAGCCUCCUGUCAUUGGAUUUAGAGCCCACCCUAAUCCAGGAAGAUCUCAUCUCAAGAUUCUUAAUUGCAUCUGCAAAGACCCUUUUUCCGAACAAGAUCCCGUUCACAGGCUCUGGGCGGGCAUAUCUUUUAGAGGCCACCAUUCAACCCACUACAGCCUGCAUGGGAGACUGAGAAAUGACAGGCUUUUGGGGACAAUUUACACUUUUAAGCCACAUAUUAUAGUACCAGCUUUCCUGCCGCAGGUGGGGCUGGGAGUCUGGGUCUCUCAUGCCCACAUGGGGCCCAGCCAGAACUUGGCCUACUGAACAAACUACAAAAAUCUCUCUUCUUGUUUCAAUGGAUAAUGCACCUCCCUUGAAGAUCCAUCCUUUAUUUGUCCUUCAGUGGCACCCCAUGGCAAUUGUUCUGAAGUAUUUACUGACAAAAUAUCCCUGCCUGUUGGUUCAUCUUCCAGCUUGUCUCCAUAAGUGACAAUGAUUUGGGUGAGCCAGGGUGGAUUUCUGCAGGCUCCUGGACUCAAGCCUUCCUGAACUCAUCCCCUCACUCUCUCUCCCAAUCUCAGCCUGUGCAUUUAGGUCCUGCCCUGGAAUAUGGUAAGAUGGAAGACUUUCAUAAUUUCCGAUGCACUGCACUGAAUCUGGGAUUUGUAGCCUAUACUAGCAUCCUUUCUUUAAUUUAAACGAUUAGCGUUUCAAAUGUAACCAGGAACUGGGCACCACGAGAUAACCCCUGACUAUGACUACUCAGCCCCUUGGAGUUUCCCUUAAGGGGGGAAUGGGGUGUAGCAGCAGAGCCCUGGGAUUGGAGGCCUCUCCUGGUCAAGUGUAGUGAGGGUCAGAGGUCAUGUGCCAGGUGUGCACUAUGGAGGGACAGAGGCAUCAAGAGGCAUUCAUGUCCCCAUCCUUUGGUCGUGGGGGCGGGGGGUGGGUGGUGUCCUGCCCCAGGGUCCUUUUGUGUAGGGACAAGGCAUGUAGCUGUCACACAACGGUAACAGAAGAGUGGAUGACUGGCCAGGCUACCCCCAGGCAGCCACUGUCUGAAGUUUUCUAUCCUAGAGCUUUGAAAACCCAAAUUCCUCAUGCCAAGCUCAGCUUCAGUGAUUUAGGAGGCAGAAGGCAGACUGUACCCCAGUCUGCAUAUGUGCUGUUUAGGGCUCAUUUAGGACCCCCAGGAAGUGCUUCUUCAGUGAGAGGAUUCUAAAUAGCUCUUACGUUGGUAAAACUUUUACAGUAAAUACUGUCAUUAGCAUCCUAAGAAUAGUCUACUGUCUGGAGUAAAAGUCCCCAAACCAACAGCCCACAUGCCAGUACUGACUUUUGGCCAGGGGCCAUGUAGGUUUUAGUUCUGCAGACCCUUCUCAGGGCCACCACAGGGAGGGCAGGCUGGCUUCCCACACCUGGCAGCUUCACCUGGAGGAUAGGGUGCCAAGUCCCCACCCAUAGGCCUAUGCUGUCCAGCAGGGACGCCUCUUCCUAACCCGUUCACAGGCCGUUUUGCCUGGCAGUGGGCGCUGCCAAGCUCUACCUCUAUACUCCCCCCUUACUGGAAGCACAGGGCAAUCGGGGAAGCCCUCUAAGAUCCAGCAGGUGACCCUGGGCCCUGUUUUGGGGUCUGGGCUGGGCUGGACUACAGGGUCACCAAGGAAACCAGGAGCAGCCCUUGCCUCAGCUCAGCUUUGUCCUGAAGAAGGGCCUGCCCUAGCACCUGGGGGAGGUGGCAGCUGCAUCAUCCCAGAGGGGAGGGCAGGAGUGGGUGACCCUGAGCUCCCUGGGGGGCUGGGAGAGGACUGGAAUAAGCAGUUCUGGAUGGAGACCCGCCAGGCCCGCUCACUGUGUCAGCUGAAUUUGCAGGUAGAUGGACACCUCUGUGUGGCCAGAGGCCCUGACCGCUGAGCCUGGCCCAGGUCCUCACAGAUGCUCCGUUUGAGCACGGGGGUAUAGAGCGGGGAGGCUUGUUUUGCAGACUGGACCAGGCAAGGAGGCAAAGGUUGGCUUCUGCAGGUCUCAGUGGCUGGCUCAGACCCCGAGGAAUCUGCUGGUUUGUCACUGGGCCCUGCACUACACUACCCAACCCCCGGGGUGUCAGAGGCAGGCUGGGGGUCUGUGUGCUGAUCCACUUCUAGUGGUCUACACCAGUGUUCCAACUGCUUCUUCUUCUCCUGCUUGUGAGAUGGGCAGUUGAUAUCGUGAGGUCAAGAAGCAGGACCGCUAGCCCCAGUGGCGGCAUUGGUGAUGGCAGGGGCAGGGAUUUUUAACUUCUGUGCACCUGGGUUUUCUCAUCUGUAAAAAAUAGAGAUGACAAUUUCUGCUUUACCCACUGUAUCUAUGUCAAACAUGCAAUAAAACUGUGUGUUAAUGUGUUAUAGAAAUGAGGAGGUGCUAUGAAAGCGCACUCUAGUUAGAGACCAAGCCUGGAUGGAACUCAGGCUUUUCAACGGUGAAAUGGGAAAAGUCUUUUUGUUAUUUAAUUCUUUGAUGAUGGAAUAGGAUAAUUUGUGUGAUGGCAGCUAAUAUAUUGAAGGUGCUUCUGCAAUAUCAAUAUAAUAAUAAUUUUAAAAAGUGUUGCAUCUCCAAGAUAAUGUUUUGGCUUGUAAAAUUUUGACUAUUAUAUACGUAUAAGAAAAAACACAAAAUAGAGAUUUAAGCAAAAAUGAAAUAUUGUAUUAUUCACAGAUAAUCUAUAAUGUUUUGUUGUAGAUCUUUUCAGAUUUUUUCAUAUAUGUGACUAUAAUUAUUUUUUACAAAAAUUGGAUCAACACAUAUUUUCAUAUCAUUUUUAUUUUUUUGCUUUUAUUUUUAUUUUCUUUGAGACGGAGUUUUGCUCUUGUUGCCCAGGCUGGAGUGCAAUGGUGCGCCAGGCUGGAGUGCAAUGGUGCGAUCUUGGCUCACCGCAACCUCCCUCUCCCGGGUACCAGCGAUUCUCCUGCCUCAGCCUCCCGAGUAGCUGGGAUUAUGGGCAUGCGCCACUAUCCUGGCUAAUUUUUGUAUUUUUAGUAGAGACGGGGUUUCUUCAUGUUGGUCAGGCUGGUCUUGAACUCCUGACCUCAGGCGAUCCACCCGCCUCAGCCUCCCAAAGUGCUGGGAUUACAGGCGUGAGCCACUGCGCCUGGCCUCAUAUCAUUUUUAAUGCUUGCCCAGAAUUCUAAUUCUUUCUUAUUGCAUAUUUAGGUUGUUAAAAAUUUUUUUUAAAUAAUAAUAUGGAUAAGAACCUGCUUGUAGCUAGGACUCUGUAAUUGAAAAUCAAUCAGGUAAAAUAAUAAACUAGAAGUAGAGCAGCCCAGACACGAUGGCGAAACCCCAUUUCUCCAAAAAAUACAAAAAGGUUAGCUGAGCGUGGUGGUGUGUGCCCGUGGUCUUAGCUGCUCGGGAGGCUGAGGUGGGAGGAUUGCUGGAGUUCAGGAGGUUAAGGUUGAAGUGAGCUGAUAUGGUGCCACUACACUCCCGCCUGGGCAACAAAGCCAGACCUUGUCUCAAAAAAAAAAAAAAGAAGUAGAAACGUUAGGUCAAAUGAUGUGCAUUUUUUCCGGUUGUGAUAAAAUACACAUAACAAAAAUUUACCAUCUUAACCAUUUUCAAGUGCACAGGUCAGUGGCAUUAACUAUGAAUACAGUCACAUUGUUGCACUACCCUUAUCGCACUCCACCAUUCCUCCACAGAGGAGAGCUGGCUUGCUUCUAGAAUGCUCAUCAAAUGCCUGGCACUUUGCCAGGGUUUCACAUCUCUUUGCAUUUUGGACAGCAGAGAUUCUGUCCCCAUUAAACACUAACUUCCCAUUCCCUCUCCCCCACAGCCUCUGGCAACCACCAUCCUAAUUUUUGUCUCUAUAGAUUUGACUCUUCUAGAUAUCUCAUAUAAGUGGAAUCAUAUAGUAUUUAUUUUUCUGUGACUUACUUCACUUGGCAUAAUUUCUUCAAGUUUAAUCAUGUUGUAGCAUGGGUCAGAAUUCUUCUCCUUUUUAAGGCUGCAUACUAUUCCACUUGGGUGGCGUCUACCUUUUGGCUGUUGUGAAUAGUGCUACUAUGACCAUGGAUGUACAAAUAUCUCCUCGAGACCCUGCUUUCUAUUGUUUUCGUACAUAUCCAGAAGUGAAAUUGCUGCAUCAUCUGGUAACUGUACGUUUAAUUUUUUGAGGGACUGCCAUACUGUUUUCCACAGCAGCAGGACCAUUUCGCAUUCCCACCAACAGUGCACGAGGGCUCCAGUUUCUCCCCAUCAUUGCCACCACUUGUUAUUUUCUGUUGGGUUUUUUUUUUUUUUUUUGAUAGUAGUCAUCUUAAUGACUGUGAAGUGGGAUGUACAUAUUUUUAAGGCUUUGAAAUCAAUUGCUGAACUGUACAGUAGAAAGGUAAUACUUGGCACUUUUACCAACAAUGGAUAGAGCACUAUUUCCACCGUCCCUAUGAACGCAGAGUACCCCUGCCAGUUUUUUGAUGAGUAUUUGAAAGAGGAAGCGUGCACGUGGUGUGGUAAACCCAGAGGACUGUGCCUACCUGCCCAAGAGGAAGACCUGGGUUUUCUCUGGCUGAGACCACCAGCUGACUGGCCCUCUCAAGUUUUAAAAUCCUGCGUUUAGAUCAACUCUGAAGCUCAGCUUCACGCAUUACCUGAUGUGGCCGAUAUAAAAAGAGAAGAAUAUCAGAUAUAAAGAAACCGUAUAUUUACAUACAAUUAGAAGCAAAUAUUUAAUGCAAGCAAAUGUUUUAUAGGAGGUGAGAGAAACUCCUGUAAGGACCAGAAAAAUAAGCUGAGCACUCCCAGGAAACAAACCUGUGUCUCAAAAUUUGGUGUUAGCCUUUGAUGGGAAAGAAAAUGAAUCAGUUUCUGCUUUUCCUUUGUUUCAUUUCUAUUUUUUUUUUUUUUUUUUUUGAGAUGGAGUCUCACUCUGUCACCCAGGCUGGAGUGCAGUGGUGUGAUCUUGGCUCACUGCAAUUUCUGCUUCCCAGGUUCAAGUGAUUCUCCAACCUCAGCCUCCUGAGUAGCUGGGAUUACAGGCAUGCACCACCAUGCCUAGCUAAUUUUUGUAUUUUUAAUAAAGAUGAGGUUUCGCCGUGUUGGCCAGGCUGGUCUCAAACUCCUGACCUCAGGUAAUCCAUCCGCCUCAUCCUCCCAGUGCUGGGAUUACAGGCGUGAGCCACCACGCCCGGCCCUUUGUUUCAUUUUCGAAUUUGAAUUAUGAUUGUAGGGCUCUGAUUCCCCAAACCUUCACAACUUAAAACCAAGUGCCCAUCUCACGUACCCCUCCUCCCCCAGCAGCCGGGGCCUCCCUCCCUCCUGGCCACACUCUGUGGCACGACCCUCUGAGCGUGGUCUUCCCUGUUAGUGGGGCAAGCCCUGGAGGCAGGGUCUGUGUCUUGCUCUCCAGGAAUGGCCUGAAUCUCCUCAAGUCCUAGCCCAAAACGUGAUUCACAAUCUUGGCUUAAGGUAAUCCUAAUGCUUCUAGAAUGUUCUUCAAAUGCCUGGCACUUUCCCACCUAAAUUAUCCCAUUCCAUCCUUUCAGCCAGCUUAUCAGGUGAGCACUACUAUUCCUCCUAUUUUAUAGAUGAGGACGCUGAAGCGCAGAGAGGAUAAGAAACUUGCUCAGUGACACACAGCUGGUGAGGGGGAUCUGGGUUUGAAUUCACACCUUCGGGCUCUAGUGUCAGUGUUCUGAACGUACACCCAGCAGUGCCUCUGACAUGAUGAACGGAUGAGACGUUCAGUGAGGAGGGAGAGCAGGCACCAAAAGCCUGUAUCGGCUAUAACCAAGUAAGAGCAGCCUUGCUAAGUAGCAGUCGGUCUAGAAAUCAGUUCUAUUCGAAGACUCCUAAUUGGGCUUUUCUGGGUGAUGAUAACCUUCUUGGUAAAACUGAACCCCAAGUUCUUUGGCCUGGUUGCCAUUCCCUGGCUAGCACCACGUAUUUACGCCUUUGUGCCUUUUCACAUGCCUCGGCUUCUCCUUGGAAAUCCUGUUCAUAUCACCCUUUUCUUCUGCAACUGAAACUUGCUAUUUGUCAUUCUGGGCUUAGCUCUGAUUUCACCAGUUCUGUGGCUCCAUUCUUAGCCAUCGCAUCCCUUCUCCUCUCCUUGGUCUCUCAGUCACGUCUCCUACCUCAGUUGAAAUUCUUCCCACUAGUCUUGAGCGUAAAUUAGUUCAACCAUUGUGAAAGACAGUGGGGCAAUUCCUCAAGGAUCUAGAACCAGAAAUACCAUUUGACCCAGCCAUCCCAUUACUGGGUAUAUACCCAAAGGAUUUCCGAUAAAUCAUUCUACUAUAAAGACACAUGCACACCUAUGUUUAUUGCAGCACUAUUUACAAUAGCAAAGACUUGGAACCAACCCAAGUGCCCAUCAGUGAUAGACUGGAUAAAGUCUACCCCUCUUCCAGAAAGUUUGUGAAUAACCCACCCCUUAUUUAGCAUAUAAUUAAGAGUGGGUAUAAAUAGAGCCAGCCAGCAACCCACAAGUGCUACUCUGGGCCCCUCUGCCUGUGGGAUAGCCCUGCUCUGCCAAUGAAGCAGCCAUCUUGCUGUUCACUACGCUAUAUAAACUUGCUUUCUUUCACUGUUGGCUUGCUCUUGAAUUCUUCCCUGAAUGAAGCCAAGAACCAACUCAGGCUGAGCCCCCGUUUUUGGGUUUGCCUGCAUCACCUGCAGUGGAGAUGGUUGGUUGUUUACCAAAAUCAUUUCUCCCUUCUCUCUGGACAUACUGCUGGACUACAUUUCCCAUCCAACAUGACAGGUGGGCACGGCCUGACGACUGGAUUGUCCAACAAAACACAGAAAGUGUAGACAAGAGAACAGCAGAAAGUGACGCCUGCAGCCACAGAGAUGUGCUCCCAGUCUCCCUCUUUUCUGACUGCUGGGGGUGCACACCACAGCGAGGCCCAAGGGCUGUGAUGGAGGCCUAGGAUGGAAGGUGGCUGGUCCCUGAAUUACUUCUAGGAGAGGCACCAUCUGCUGAGCAGGAACCCCUGCCUGGGACAGUUGCAAGAACAAGAAAUCAGCUCCUUUUGUGCCAGAACCAGUAUGCAUGUUGAGGUCCAAUCCUACAGUUAGUGAUGUGGUAACAGAAAUGAGCUUUGUGCUUCCAUGCCCUGGGCAACUGCAGGCAGCUGAGGCCCCCAUCUGCAGGUGGUCUCUGCAGGCAGAGGGUUUCUGGUGAAGGGCCCUAUGGGGUUUCUGAUGAGGGCCCCACAGAAACCAGAAUCUCUUCCCUGCUGCUUAUUUCAAAUUCUGCUCGGUUGUCCCUUCCAGGCCAGGCGGGUAAUCUUGCUUGUGGCCACACUCCUCUUCCUGGGACCUGAGCCUGCCCUCCUGCUCCUGAGUAGUUCAUUGUGAUGCUGUCUGCUGUGGCUGUGGAGUGCUACGCGCUGGCCAGCCUGAGGGCGACCUGUACCGCCUUGGCCAAACCCUUUACCCCACUGAGAGAUACCUCCCUCAUCUGCAGCGAGAGUCCCUACCUUGUAGGGCAGUGUGAAGGAUGUCCUGAGAUGGUCAGGACUUAGCACCCUGUAAGCACAAGAGCUGUUCUUGGUGGCGUUAUGAUCACACCCACAGAUAGGGCCUCAGGCAGGCCUCAGUGUCCUCCUGGCUGGCCACGUGCUACGGAUGUCCCCAUGCACUUGAUGUGUCAGCAGCAGAAGGACCUUCAGGAGGAGGCAACGAUGGGAUGAGACGAGGCUCAAAGGAGGAUGUUGCCGCGCAGAGACGUUUCGGGAAUAUGAGGCAGGUCACCACCUAUGAUUCUUGUGGUAGUGGAGGAAUGGUGGCGGCUGUCAUUGUGACACCCACUUUAGAGACAGGAAACUGAGCUUCAGAGAGGGGGAGUCCAGGCCCCACAGCACACAGCCAGGAAAGGGCCGGGCAGAAGGGGCUUUGGGUUUUAACCUAACUCACCCCGACUGCCUGCUUCUUCACCCAGCCAUCAUGGAACGUCUCUGUGCCUCUUCCCUGCUCUCGUGGAGGCCUGGGUCAGGCAGCUGCCCAGAGGCAGACGUGCACUGUGACCCUAGAAGACUGUUCCAGACAGGCCAGCCCAGGCAGAGACAAAACAGGGACCUGCUCCUCAUUGGUGUCACGACCAAAUGCAGGGGAUUUGCUAAGGGAGGCGCAGCCAUGAAUUGGGAGCCAGCUUCGUGCUCUGCCACUCCUUCUUGCUAAUCCCUCGAAAAUCCAAUCAGAGCUGUUUCCCUCCAUGAAACCAACUGGACACAGCACAUACUGGCCGGACCUCUGCCAGCAUGGAGUGGAUCUUUUUUCUGUUUAAAGAACCAGGUUUCAAAUGUUCUUAAUAAAACGUUUAUAUAUAUCAUGCAGGGUGCAAAUAAAUAUUUUAAUAUAAUUGGAAGAAUGUAGAGAAUUGUAAAAAGUUAUGGAAGUUUUACUUCUGAUUGGCCAAGACUCAAUAAACUCUGGUUUGAUGUACUCUAAUUUAUAGGCGUGCAAAGCCAACUCUUUGGCAUCAGAGAGGCCGUUAACGUUGUAAUGAUGUUUAAACGCUGACAAAUGAGCUGCUUGGGCGGCACCUUCAGCCCUGAGAAUGGAACUGUUGGAGCUGGAGGACUUGCCUGUCCCCAGCUUUCUCCCUUCCUCCCGUGCUGGUGGAGCAGGUUAAGGGCAGGAGGACUGUUCAUUGGGGCGACUGCUCCCCAUCGGUUGAGGGGAGGGCACAAAGGGGACCCAUGGCUUCUUUUUCACUGUUGUCCCUAAUUAUGGUCUUUCUCAUUAAAAUAACAAGG
RNAcentral lists this long non-coding RNA (11397 nucleotides) under Homo sapiens (human). RNAcentral's name for it is "long non-coding RNA NONHSAT183881.1". The record is from RNAcentral. Lineage: Eukaryota; Metazoa; Chordata; Mammalia; Primates; Hominidae.